This 201-nucleotide ribosomal RNA is filed under the name uncultured bacterium. RNAcentral describes it as "partial 16S ribosomal RNA". It matches the Rfam family "Bacterial small subunit ribosomal RNA", at positions 524 to 724 of the family's 1533-position model. The record is from RNAcentral.
UACGUAGGGUGCGAGCGUUAAUCGGAAUUACUGGGCGUAAAGCGUGCGUAGGCGGUUCGUUAUGUCUGCUGUGAAAGCCCCGGGCUUAACCUGGGAAUGGCAGUGGAAACUGGCGGGCUUGAGUGUGGCAGAGGGAGGUAGAAUUCCACGUGUAGCAGUGAAAUGCGUAGAGAUGUGGAGGAAUACCGAUGGCGAAGGCAG